Molecule: long non-coding RNA, 297 nt
Organism: Drosophila obscura
Lineage: Eukaryota; Metazoa; Arthropoda; Insecta; Diptera; Drosophilidae
Exons: 3
Source: RefSeq, a predicted model, not a curated record
UGAAAAUGAUUUUGUUCCAGUCCCUACCGCUUAUAGUACUAGGAUUAUAAUGAAAGAUCCCUCACAGCACACUUUUUUCUACGUAUUUUGAUUAUUACAUGGUAAUUUGGCUCAGCACAGUGGGACUCGAGUGGGAUUCUCUAUGAGGUUUCAAAAAGGCAAACAAAAGCAGCCACAAAUCGUUGCCAUUGUCUUGGGAUGUCCAUAACAAUGAAAGGAUCGUUCGACAACGCCAACAUCUAAUCCGCAAAACGAAAACGAUUAAUCUGGCACAGCAGAGCAGAGCUGAAAGAAGAG